UAGCAUAUAAUGGUGUAACAUUUAUCUA
This 28-nucleotide small RNA is filed under the name Bombyx mori (domestic silkworm). Its description in RNAcentral is "ovarian small RNA-22293". Lineage: Eukaryota; Metazoa; Arthropoda; Insecta; Lepidoptera; Bombycidae. The record is from RNAcentral.